This 179-nucleotide small nuclear RNA is filed under the name Symbiodinium microadriaticum. RNAcentral's name for it is "U2 spliceosomal RNA". It matches the Rfam family "U2 spliceosomal RNA". From Rfam's summary of the family: U2 is a small nuclear RNA (snRNA) component of the spliceosome (involved in pre-mRNA splicing). The record is from Rfam by way of RNAcentral. Lineage: Eukaryota; Dinophyceae; Suessiales; Symbiodiniaceae.
AUAUUUUCUUGACCUUUUGGCUAUGAUUAAAUAGAAUAUUUCUUCUUAUUAGUAUGAUGAUUGAUAUAUCUCUAAGUGGUUGUUAUAUCUAUUUAUAUUGGGAAGUAUCUUUAUGAGCUCGCUUGGAAAUUUUCAUGUGUUGUGUUGGUAUAGCACUAAACUAGUGGAAUACACCUUAC